Small nuclear RNA from Balaenoptera musculus (blue whale), 101 nucleotides. The record is from Ensembl. NCBI's taxonomy places the organism in Eukaryota, Metazoa, Chordata, Mammalia, Artiodactyla, Balaenopteridae.
GUGCUUGCUUAGUAGCACUUACACUAAAAUAAGAACAAUAUAGAGAUUAGUAGGGCCCCUAAUCAAGGGUACUACAAAUUCAUGAAGCUAUCUAUAUUUUU